GCUUUCGUGGUGUAGUGGUCAGCACGCUCCACGCUUAUUCGAGAGGUCUGUGGUUCGAGUCCCAGCAAAGCA
RNAcentral lists this transfer RNA (72 nucleotides) under Stegodyphus mimosarum. It matches the Rfam family "tRNA". Rfam says of the family: Transfer RNA (tRNA) molecules are approximately 80 nucleotides in length. Their secondary structure includes four short double-helical elements and three loops (D, anti-codon, and T loops). Lineage: Eukaryota; Metazoa; Arthropoda; Arachnida; Araneae; Eresidae. The record is from Rfam by way of RNAcentral.